RNAcentral lists this ribosomal RNA (618 nucleotides) under Micromonospora sp. Ri3Pt_4439. RNAcentral's name for it is "bacterial SSU rRNA". It matches the Rfam family "Bacterial small subunit ribosomal RNA", at positions 395 to 1024 of the family's 1533-position model. The record is from RNAcentral. Lineage: Bacteria; Bacillati; Actinomycetota; Actinomycetes; Micromonosporales; Micromonosporaceae.
CGCCGCGUGAGGGAAGACGGCCUACGGGUUGUAAACCUCUUUCAGCAGGGACGAAGCGCAAGUGACGGUACCUGCAGAAGAAGCACCGGCCAACUACGUGCCAGCAGCCGCGGUAAGACGUAGGGUGCGAGCGUUGUCCGGAUUUAUUGGGCGUAAAGAGCUCGUAGGCGGCUUGUCGCGUCGACCGUGAAAACUUGGGGCUCAACCCCAAGCCUGCGGUCGAUACGGGCAGGCUAGAGUUCGGUAGGGGAGACUGGAAUUCCUGGUGUAGCGGUGAAAUGCGCAGAUAUCAGGAGGAACACCGGUGGCGAAGGCGGGUCUCUGGGCCGAUACUGACGCUGAGGAGCGAAAGCGUGGGGAGCGAACAGGAUUAGAUACCCUGGUAGUCCACGCUGUAAACGUUGGGCGCUAGGUGUGGGGGGCCUCUCCGGUUCUCUGUGCCGCAGCUAACGCAUUAAGCGCCCCGCCUGGGGAGUACGGCCGCAAGGCUAAAACUCAAAGGAAUUGACGGGGGCCCGCACAAGCGGCGGAGCAUGCGGAUUAAUUCGAUGCAACGCGAAGAACCUUAUCUGGGUUUGACAUGGCCGCAAAACUUCCAGAGAUGGGAGGUCCUUCGGG